Long non-coding RNA from Leopardus geoffroyi (Geoffroy's cat), 433 nucleotides. RefSeq lists it as uncharacterized. The record is from RefSeq and is a predicted model, not a curated record. NCBI's taxonomy places the organism in Eukaryota, Metazoa, Chordata, Mammalia, Carnivora, Felidae. The transcript has 2 exons.
ACCCUGGGUCUCUCCCCCACAUCCUCCAGGAAAGCCCCCUUUCCUCUGCUCUCGGCUUCCCAAGUCUGCUGGCCCCUAAUCAGGGGCAGAAGCAGAUCGAUCCUCCAAGGUGGAAAAGACAAGUGUGCCCCAUUUUUGGAAGGAACCAAGAACUUAAGGUGGUGUGUCCAAGGCCUGAGACAUUUAUUGAUGGAUUUAUGGUGGCUGCAUCAGAAUCCAGAUAUAACGUAAGCCAACAGGAUAGCUUUAACACUUGUUUACAAAGAUGCAUGAUUUAGAGAGCUGCUUUUAUUUUCUCCUUUGGAUUACUUUGUAGUAAAUGCAAACCUUGCAGCCGAGGGAAAACCCACAUAAACUCCAUCUGAGAGUGAUUACUUGGUUUUAAUUUAAUGUUUCUGACCGAUCCUGGAAAUAAAGGUUGGUAUUUCUUUCA